CCUACGGGGGGCAGCAGUGGGGAAUAUUGCACAAUGGGGGAAACCCUGAUGCAGCGACGCCGCGUGAGUGAAGAAGUAUUUCGUUACGUAAAGCUCUAUCAGCAGGGAAGAAACACUGACCUUACGGUCAGCAGACGGUACCUGAGUAAGAAGCACCGGCUCACUACGUGCCAGCAGCCGCGGUACUACGUAGGGGGCAAGCGUUAUCCGGAUUUACUGGGUGUAAAGGGAGCGUAGACGGUGCGCCAAGUCUGGAGUGAAAUGCCGCAGCUUAACUGCGGAACUGCGUUUGAAACUGGCGAACUAGAGUGCGGGAGGGGUAAGCGGAAUUCCUAGUGGAGCGGUGAAAUGCGUAGAUAUUAGGAGGAACACCGGUGGCGAAGGCGGCUUACUGGACCGUAACUGACGUGGAGGCUCGAAAGCGUGGGGAGCAAACAGGAUUAGAUACCCUUGUAGUC
RNAcentral lists this ribosomal RNA (458 nucleotides) under uncultured bacterium. RNAcentral's name for it is "partial 16S ribosomal RNA". It matches the Rfam family "Bacterial small subunit ribosomal RNA", at positions 338 to 795 of the family's 1533-position model. The record is from RNAcentral.